GACGAACGCUGGCGGCGUGCCUAAUACAUGCAAGUAGAACGCUGAAGGAGGAGCUUGCUUCUCUGGAUGAGUUGCGAACGGGUGAGUAACGCGUAGGUAACCUGCCUGGUAGCGGGGGAUAACUAUUGGAAACGAUAGCUAAUACCGCAUAAGAUUGACUAUUGCAUGAUAGUCAGUUAAAAGGUGCAAUUGCAUCACUACCAGAUGGACCUGCGUUGUAUUAGCUAGUUGGUGGGGUAACGGCUCACCAAGGCGACGAUACAUAGCCGACCUGAGAGGGUGAUCGGCCACACUGGGACUGAGACACGGCCCAGACUCCUACGGGGGGCAGCAGUAGGGAGUCUUCGGCAAUGGACGGAAGUCUGGCCGAGCGACGCCGCGUGAGUGAAGAAGGUUUUCGGAUCGUAAAGCUCUGUUGUAAGAGAAGAACGAGUGUGAGAGUGGAAAGUUCACACUGUGACGGUAUCUUACCAGAAAGGGACGGCUAACUACGUG
This 495-nucleotide ribosomal RNA is filed under the name uncultured bacterium. RNAcentral's name for it is "partial 16S ribosomal RNA". It matches the Rfam family "Bacterial small subunit ribosomal RNA", at positions 28 to 507 of the family's 1533-position model. The record is from RNAcentral.